This 461-nucleotide ribosomal RNA is filed under the name uncultured bacterium. RNAcentral's name for it is "bacterial SSU rRNA". It matches the Rfam family "Bacterial small subunit ribosomal RNA", at positions 917 to 1382 of the family's 1533-position model. The record is from RNAcentral.
GGACCCGCACAAGCGGUGGAUGAUGUGGAUUAAUUCGAUGCAACGCGAAGAACCUUACCUACCCUUGACAUGUCCGAAACUUGCCAGAGAUGGCUUGGUGCCCGAAAGGGAAUCGGAACACAGGUGCUGCAUGGCUGUCGUCAGCUCGUGUCGUGAGAUGUUGGGUUAAGUCCCGCAACGAGCGCAACCCUUGUCCUUAGUUGCUACGCAAGAGCACUCUAAGGAGACUGCCGGUGACAAACCGGAGGAAGGUGGGGAUGACGUCAAGUCCUCAUGGCCCUUAUGGGUAGGGCUUCACACGUCAUACAAUGGUCGGUACAGAGGGUUGCCAAGCCGCGAGGUGGAGCCAAUCCCACAAAGCCGAUCGUAGUCCGGAUUGUUCUCUGCAACUCGAGAGCAUGAAGUCGGAAUCGCUAGUAAUCGCAGGUCAGCAUACUGCGGUGAAUACGUUCCCGGGUCUU